RNAcentral lists this transfer RNA (71 nucleotides) under Mycobacterium sp. RNAcentral's name for it is "tRNA-Cys". It matches the Rfam family "tRNA". From Rfam's summary of the family: Transfer RNA (tRNA) molecules are approximately 80 nucleotides in length. Their secondary structure includes four short double-helical elements and three loops (D, anti-codon, and T loops). The record is from RNAcentral. Lineage: Bacteria; Bacillati; Actinomycetota; Actinomycetes; Mycobacteriales; Mycobacteriaceae.
GCGGGUGUGACUGAGAGGCAAGGCGCCGGCCUGCAAAGCCGUUUACACGGGUUCGAUUCCCGUCACUCGCU